RNAcentral lists this transfer RNA (58 nucleotides) under Ictidomys tridecemlineatus (thirteen-lined ground squirrel). Its description in RNAcentral is "Spermophilus tridecemlineatus (thirteen-lined ground squirrel) tRNA". It matches the Rfam family "tRNA", at positions 8 to 63 of the family's 71-position model. Rfam says of the family: Transfer RNA (tRNA) molecules are approximately 80 nucleotides in length. Lineage: Eukaryota; Metazoa; Chordata; Mammalia; Rodentia; Sciuridae. The record is from Rfam by way of RNAcentral.
UAGCUCAGUUGGUAGUGCGCUUGCCUUGCAAGCACAAGGUUCUGGGUUCAAUUCCCAG